GAGAGUAUAGCUCAGUGGUCGAGAGCAUGCCUAGCGUGCAAGAAGUCCUGGGUUCAAUUCCCAGUACCUCCA
Transfer RNA from Camelus ferus (Wild Bactrian camel), 72 nucleotides. It matches the Rfam family "tRNA". Rfam says of the family: Transfer RNA (tRNA) molecules are approximately 80 nucleotides in length. Their secondary structure includes four short double-helical elements and three loops (D, anti-codon, and T loops). The record is from Rfam. Lineage: Eukaryota; Metazoa; Chordata; Mammalia; Artiodactyla; Camelidae.